UAAUCAAACAGUUGUUGUCAACAUUUUUUUCUUCGUUGUUGUUUAAGGUGCGUUGUUUUGAAGAAUUUGUCGGAUUUGUGUUAAGCUCGGGUUCAACAAUAUUAUUUCCGGAUAAGGAUACUGGUGGUUUUCUGAACACCGAUCAUUUUGGAAUCCAUUUUUUUCCUGAAUGAGAAGCUAACCAUUUUAAGGAAGCCUCCCCCCCCCCGAGAACAAACGUAAAAAAUCUGGGUGAUGGCUGUGAAAAGAAUUCUAGUUCAUAUUCCCAGAACGAAUUCCAAAAACAAACGGCGUGAAAGACGCCCUGUCACCUGGCAAAAUUUUCGGUUUGAAAACACCCCCUCGUCAGUGAACAGUUGACUUGUGCUGCUUGCCGUCCCGUUAAAUCAUGAAAGAAUAAAUUAUACGAAGAGCAUGUUACAUGCAACACCCAUUUUAGGUUUUGAUGGUGUCCGUGUGAGAGUUUUACUUCUUCUCGAU
Long non-coding RNA from Uranotaenia lowii, 480 nucleotides. RefSeq lists it as uncharacterized. The transcript is spliced from 3 exons. The record is from RefSeq and is a predicted model, not a curated record. NCBI's taxonomy places the organism in Eukaryota, Metazoa, Arthropoda, Insecta, Diptera, Culicidae.